AGAGUUUGAUCCUGGCUCAGAUUGAACGCUGGCGGCGUGCCUAACACAUGCAAGUCGAACGCGCUCCAUUCGGUAGCAAUACUGAUGAAGAGCGAGUGGCGAACGGGUGAGUAGCACGUGAGCAACCUGCCCCGAAGACCGGGACAACACCGGGAAACCGGUGCUAAUACCGGAUAUCCCUAUCGGACCGCAUGAUCUGAUAAGGAAAUGGAUUCCGCUUCGGGAGGGGCUCGCGGCCUAUCAGCUAGUUGGUGAGGUAACGGCCCACCAAGGCAUCGACGGGUAGCUGGUCUGAGAGGACGAUCAGCCACACUGGGACUGAGACACGGCCCAGACUCCUACGGGAGGCAGCAGUGGGGAAUCUUGCGCAAUGGGCGAAAGCCUGACGCAGCAACGCCGCGUGGAGGACGAAGGCUUUCUGAGUUGUAAACUCCUUUCAGCAGGGACGAUAGUGACGGUACCUGCAGAAGAAGCAC
Molecule: ribosomal RNA, 476 nt
Filed under: uncultured bacterium
Lineage: Bacteria
Description: bacterial SSU rRNA
Rfam family: Bacterial small subunit ribosomal RNA
Source: RNAcentral